RNAcentral lists this transfer RNA (76 nucleotides) under Thermochaetoides thermophila DSM 1495. RNAcentral describes it as "Chaetomium thermophilum var. thermophilum DSM 1495 tRNA-Asp". It matches the Rfam family "tRNA". Rfam says of the family: Transfer RNA (tRNA) molecules are approximately 80 nucleotides in length. Their secondary structure includes four short double-helical elements and three loops (D, anti-codon, and T loops). Further hydrogen bonds mediate the characteristic L-shaped molecular structure. tRNAs have two regions of fundamental functional importance: the anti-codon, which is responsible for specific mRNA codon recognition, and the 3' end, to which the tRNAs corresponding amino acid is attached (by aminoacyl-tRNA synthetases). tRNAs cope with the degeneracy of the genetic code in two manners: having more than one tRNA (with a specific anti-codon) for a particular amino acid; and 'wobble' base-pairing, i.e. permitting non-standard base-pairing at the 3rd anti-codon position. The record is from RNAcentral. Lineage: Eukaryota; Fungi; Ascomycota; Sordariomycetes; Sordariales; Chaetomiaceae.
UUCUCGGUAGUAUAGUGGUUAGUAUGCAGGCUUGUCAAACUCGCCUGAGACCCGGGUUCAAUUCCCGGCCGGGAAG